Molecule: long non-coding RNA, 222 nt
Organism: Oxyura jamaicensis (ruddy duck)
Lineage: Eukaryota; Metazoa; Chordata; Aves; Anseriformes; Anatidae
Exons: 4
Source: RefSeq, a predicted model, not a curated record
GAAACACUCAAAACAUAUCUGUGAUUCAAGAUAGAGAAAUAUAAUGAAUCAUGGAAUCAUAGAAUAUCCCAAGUUGGAAGGGACCCAUAAGGAUCAUCAAGUCCAACUCCUGGCAUUGUACAGGUCUACCCAAGAAUUCAGACCAUGUGACUAGGUGCACAGUCCAAAUGCUUCUUAAAUUCAGACAGGGUUGGUGCAGUGACUACUUCACUGGGAAACCUG